CCUACGGGAGGCAGCAGUAGGGAAUUUUCGUCAAUGGGCGCAAGCCUGAACGAGCAAUGCCGCGUGAACGAGGAAGGUCUUCGGAUCGUAAAGUUCUGUUGAAGGGGAAAAAGAGCGGAGAGAGGAAAUGGUCUCCGAUUGAUAUUACCCUUCGAGGAAGUCACGGCUAACUACGUGCCAGCAGCCGCGGUAAUACGUAGGUGGCGAGCGUUAUCCGGAUUGAUUGGGCGUAAAGGGUGCGUAGGCGGCCUGCUAAGUCUGGAGUGAAAGGUACCGGCUCAACCGGUACAGGCUCUGGAAACUGGCGGGCUAGGGAGCAAGAGAGGGCGGUGGAAAUCCAUGUGUAGCGGUAAAAUGCGUAGAUAUAUGGAAGAAAACCAGUGGCGAAGGCGGCCGCCUGGACUGUUGACUGACGCUGAGGCACGAAAGCGUGGGGAGCAAAUAGGAUUAGAUACCCCAGUAGUC
RNAcentral lists this ribosomal RNA (465 nucleotides) under uncultured bacterium. RNAcentral's name for it is "partial 16S ribosomal RNA". It matches the Rfam family "Bacterial small subunit ribosomal RNA", at positions 338 to 795 of the family's 1533-position model. The record is from RNAcentral.